UGGGGAAUAUUGCACAAUGGGCGCAAGCCUGAUGCAGCCAUGCCGCGUGUGUGAAGAAGGCCUUCGGGUUGUAAAGCACUUUCAGCGGGGAGGAAGGCGUUAAGGUUAAUAACCUUGGCGAUUGACGUUACCCGCAGAAGAAGCACCGGCUAACUCCGUGCCAGCAGCCGCGGUAAUACGGAGGGUGCAAGCGUUAAUCGGAAUUACUGGGCGUACAGCGCACGCAGGCGGUUUGUUAAGUCAGAUGUGAAAUCCUCGGGCUCAACCUGGGAACUGCAUCUGAUACUGGCAAGCUUGAGUCUCGUAGAGGGGGGUAGAAUUCCAGGUGUAGCGGUGGAAUGCGUAGAGAUCUGGAGGAAUACCGGUGGCGAAGGCGGCCCCCUGGACGAAGACUGACGCUCAGGUGCGAAAGCGUGGGGAGCAAACAGG
Molecule: ribosomal RNA, 429 nt
Filed under: Chloroflexota bacterium
Lineage: Bacteria; Bacillati; Chloroflexota
Description: Chloroflexi bacterium partial 16S ribosomal RNA
Rfam family: Bacterial small subunit ribosomal RNA
Source: RNAcentral